UUUUUUGAAUUUUCCCUUGAGCUGGAUUUAUUCCUGGUGCUGUUGUCUAUUUCUCUUAUGAUCUGCCCAAAGGUGAUGAUGGUGCUGCAGCCUCAGGAUCCUAUCUUCAAGAAGAGGUCUUCUCUUUGCAAGGACUGGAUACUAUGAUUGAGAUGAAUCUCCAGCACGCAACCCCCCUGCUUCCGUACAAGAUCAAAAGCCUGCUGCUGAUAAGAAGAAAAUUAAGCCAAAGUGGUUGAAACUGUGAUAUGAUUGAUCUUAGGGUUAUACUUUACUCUAAUAAAGUGUUAUCUGUAAUCCUUUGUUCUGUAAUCAGUUGUCACUAGAAGCUAAAGCAUAUGUGCAUGGUCUCGUUACUUCAAAUGGAUGGUCACUUUCUGGAGUAGUAUGCCAAAGAGGAGGUUGAAACUUGGAAAUAUGUUCAAACAUAUUGAUUGAAAAUGAACUUAAGUGUG
This is an RNA transcript of Capsicum annuum, 455 nucleotides long. RefSeq lists it as uncharacterized. Lineage: Eukaryota; Viridiplantae; Streptophyta; Magnoliopsida; Solanales; Solanaceae. The transcript is spliced from 2 exons. The record is from RefSeq and is a predicted model, not a curated record.